RNAcentral lists this ribosomal RNA (755 nucleotides) under uncultured bacterium. Its description in RNAcentral is "bacterial SSU rRNA". It matches the Rfam family "Bacterial small subunit ribosomal RNA", at positions 8 to 796 of the family's 1533-position model. The record is from RNAcentral.
AGAGUUUGAUCAUGGCUCAGAACGAACGCUGGCGGCAUGCCUAACACAUGCAAGUCGAACGCUUUUGGGGUUUCGGCCCCAAGGGAGUGGCGCACGGGUGAGUAGCGCGUGGGAACCUGCCCUGGAGUGGGGGAUAACCGAGGGAAACUUCGGCUAAUACCGCAUGCGCCCCGGAGUGAUCCGGGGGAAAGAUUUAUCGCUCUAGGAGGGGCCCGCGUCGGAUUAGCUGGUUGGUGGGGUAACGGCCUACCAAGGCACCGAUCCGUAGCUGGUCUGAGAGGAUGAUCAGCCACACUGGGACUGAGACACGGCCCAGACUCCUACGGGAGGCAGCAGUGGGGAAUAUUGGACAAUGGGCGCAAGCCUGAUCCAGCAAUGCCGCGUGAGUGAUGAAGGCCUUAGGGUUGUAAAGCUCUUUCGCCCGCGACGAUGAUGACGGUAGCGGGAGAAGAAGCCCCGGCUACUUCGUGCCAGCAGCCGCGGUAAUACGAAGGGGGCGAGCGUUGUUCGGAUUUACUGGGCGUAAAGGGCGCGUAGGCGCGCCGCAAGUCGAGUGUGAAAGCCCCGGGCUCAACCUGGGAGGUGCGCUNNCGACUGCGGUGCUGGAGUUCGGGAGAGGAGCGUGGAAUUCCCAGUGUAGAGGUGAAAUUCGUAGAUAUUGGGAAGAACACCGGUGGCGAACGGCGCUCUGGACCGAGACUGNNNNUAGGCGCGAAGGCGUGGGGAGCAAACAGGAUUAGAUACCCNNGUAGUCC